AGAGUUUGAUCCUGGCUCAGGACGAACGCUGGCGGCGUGCCUAAUACAUGCAAGUAGAACGCUGAAGAGAGGAGCUUGCUCUUCUUGGAUGAGUUGCGAACGGGUGAGUAACGCGUAGGUAACCUGCCUUGUAGCGGGGGAUAACUAUUGGAAACGAUAGCUAAUACCGCAUAACAAUGGAUGACACAUGUCAUUUAUUUGAAAGGGGCAAUUGCUCCACUACAAGAUGGACCUGCGUUGUAUUAGCUAGUAGGUGAGGUAAUGGCUCACCUAGGCGACGAUACAUAGCCGACCUGAGAGGGUGAUCGGCCACACUGGGACUGAGACACGGCCCAGACUCCUACGGGAGGCAGCAGUAGGGAAUCUUCGGCAAUGGGGGCAACCCUGACCGAGCAACGCCGCGUGAGUGAAGAAGGUUUUCGGAUCGUAAAGCUCUGUUGUAAGUCAAGAACGGGUGUGAGAGUGGAAAGUUCACACUGUGACGGUAGCUUACCAGAAAGGGACGGCUAACUACGUGCCAGCAGCCGCGGUAAUACGUAGGUCCCGAGCGUUGUCCGGAUUUAUUGGGCGUAAAGCGAGCGCAGGCGGUUUGAUAAGUCUGAAGUUAAAGGCUGUGGCUCAACCAUAGUUCGCUUUGGAAACUGUCAAACUUGAGUGCAGAAGGGGAGAGUGGAAUUCCAUGUGUAGCGGUGAAAUGCGUAGAUAUAUGGAGGAACACCGGUGGCGAAAGCGGCUCUCUGGUCUGUAACUGACGCUGAGGCUCGAAAGCGUGGGGAGCGAACAGGAUUAGAUACCCUGGUAGUCCACGCCGUAAACGAUGAGUGCUAGGUGUUGGAUCCUUUCCGGGAUUCAGUGCCGCAGCUAACGCAUUAAGCACUCCGCCUGGGGAGUACGACCGCAAGGUUGAAACUCAAAGGAAUUGACGGGGGCCCGCACAAGCGGUGGAGCAUGUGGUUUAAUUCGAAGCAACGCGAAGAACCUUACCAGGUCUUGACAUCCCGAUGCUAUUUCUAGAGAUAGAAAGUUACUUCGGUACAUCGGUGACAGGUGGUGCAUGGUUGUCGUCAGCUCGUGUCGUGAGAUGUUGGGUUAAGUCCCGCAACGAGCGCAACCCCUAUUGUUAGUUGCCAUCAUUCAGUUGGGCACUCUAGCGAGACUGCCGGUAAUAAACCGGAGGAAGGUGGGGAUGACGUCAAAUCAUCAUGCCCCUUAUGACCUGGGCUACACACGUGCUACAAUGGUUGGUACAACGAGUUGCGAGUCGGUGACGGCGAGCUAAUCUCUUAAAGCCAAUCUCAGUUCGGAUUGUAGGCUGCAACUCGCCUACAUGAAGUCGGAAUCGCUAGUAAUCGCGGAUCAGCACGCCGCGGUGAAUACGUUCCCGGGCCUUGCACUCACCGCCCGUCA
RNAcentral lists this ribosomal RNA (1407 nucleotides) under uncultured bacterium. RNAcentral describes it as "bacterial SSU rRNA". It matches the Rfam family "Bacterial small subunit ribosomal RNA". The record is from RNAcentral.